GCUUAACACAUGCAAGUCGAGGGGCAGCACAGGUAGCAAUACCGGGUGGCGACCGGCGCACGGGUGAGUAACGCGUAUGCAACUUACCUAUCAGAGGGGGAUAACCCGGCGAAAGUCGGACUAAUACCGCAUGAAGCAGGGGCCCCGCAUGGGGAUAUUUGCUAAAGAUUCAUCGCUGAUAGAUAGGCAUGCGUUCCAUUAGGCAGUUGGCGGGGUAACGGCCCACCAAACCGACGAUGGAUAGGGGUUCUGAGAGGAAGGUCCCCCACAUUGGUACUGAGACACGGACCAAACUCCUACGGGAGGCAGCAGUGAGGAAUAUUGGUCAAUGGCCGAGAGGCUGAACCAGCCAAGUCGCGUGAGGGAUGAAGGUUCUAUGGAUCGUAAACCUCUUUUAUAAGGGAAUAAAGUGCGGGACGUGUCCCGUUUUGUAUGUACCUUAUGAAUAAGGAUCGGCUAACUCCGUGCCAGCAGCCGCGGUAAUACGGAGGAUCCGAGCGUUAUCCGGAUUUAUUGGGUUUAAAGGGUGCGUAGGCGGCCUUUUAAGUCAGCGGUGAAAGUCUGUGGCUCAACCAUAGAAUUGCCGUUGAAACUGGGGGGCUUGAGUAUGUUUGAGGCAGGCGGAAUGCGUGGUGUAGCGGUGAAAUGCAUAGAUAUCACGCAGAACCCCGAUUGCGAAGGCAGCCUGCCAAGCCAUUACUGACGCUGAUGCACGAAAGCGUGGGGAUCAAACAGGAUUAGAUACCCUGGUAGUCCACGCAGUAAACGAUGAUCACUAGCUGUUUGCGAUACACUGUAAGCGGCACAGCGAAAGCGUUAAGUGAUCCACCUGGGGAGUACGCCGGCAACGGUGAAACUCAAAGGAAUUGACGGGGGCCCGCACAAGCGGAGGAACAUGUGGUUUAAUUCGAUGAUACGCGAGGAACCUUACCCGGGUUUGAACGCAUUCGGACCGAGGUGGAAACACCUUUUCUAGCAAUAGCCGUUUGCGAGGUGCUGCAUGGUUGUCGUCAGCUCGUGCCGUGAGGUGUCGGCUUAAGUGCCAUAACGAGCGCAACCCUUGCCACUAGUUACUAACAGGUGAUGCUGAGGACUCUGGUGGGACUGCCAGCGUAAGCUGCGAGGAAGGCGGGGAUGACGUCAAAUCAGCACGGCCCUUACAUCCGGGGCGACACACGUGUUACAAUGGCGUGGACAAAGGGAGGCCACCUGGCGACAGGGAGCGAAUCCCCAAACCACGUCUCAGUUCGGAUCGGAGUCUGCAACCCGACUCCGUGAAGCUGGAUUCGCUAGUAAUCGCGCAUCAGCCAUGGCGCGGUGAAUACGUUCCCGGGCCUUGUACACACCGCCCGUCAAGCCAUGGGAGCCGGGGGUACCUGAAGUCCGUAACCGAAAGGAUCGGCCUAGGGUAAAACUGGUGACUGGGGCUAAGUCGU
RNAcentral lists this ribosomal RNA (1436 nucleotides) under uncultured organism. RNAcentral describes it as "16S ribosomal RNA". It matches the Rfam family "Bacterial small subunit ribosomal RNA". The record is from RNAcentral.